GAUGAACGCUGGCGGCGUGCUUAACACAUGCAAGUCGAACGGGAAACCUUUUAUUGAAGCUUCUGCAGAUUUCGCUGGUUUCUAGUGGCGGACGGGUGAGUAACGCGUGGGUAACCUGCCUUAUACAGGGGGAUAACAGUCAGAAAUGGCUGCUAAUACCGCAUAAGCGCACCGAGCUGCAUGGCUCAGUGUGAAAAACUCCGGUGGUAUAAGAUGGACCCGCGUUGGAUUAGCUGGUGGGUGGGGUAACGGCCCACCAAGGCGACGUUCCAUAGCCGGCCUGAGAGGGUGAACGGCAACAUUGGGACUGAGACACGGCCCAGACUCCUACGGGAGGCAGCAGUGGGGAAUAUUGCACAAUGGGGGAAACCCUGAUGCAGCGACGCCGCGUGAAGGAAGAAGUAUCUCGGUAUGUAAACUUCUAUCAGCAGGGAAGAUAAUGACGGUACCUGACUAAGAAGCCCCGGCUAACUACGUG
This 478-nucleotide ribosomal RNA is filed under the name uncultured bacterium. RNAcentral's name for it is "partial 16S ribosomal RNA". It matches the Rfam family "Bacterial small subunit ribosomal RNA", at positions 28 to 507 of the family's 1533-position model. The record is from RNAcentral.